Molecule: non-coding RNA, 70 nt
Organism: Podarcis lilfordi (Lilford's wall lizard)
Lineage: Eukaryota; Metazoa; Chordata; Lepidosauria; Squamata; Lacertidae
Source: the annotation of a GenBank genome assembly
GGUUUUAGCUCAGUGGGAGAGCAUCUGCUUUGCAUGCAGAAAAUGCUAGGUUCAAUUCCUGGCAUCGCCA